Molecule: non-coding RNA, 74 nt
Organism: Podarcis lilfordi (Lilford's wall lizard)
Lineage: Eukaryota; Metazoa; Chordata; Lepidosauria; Squamata; Lacertidae
Source: the annotation of a GenBank genome assembly
GUCCCAGUGGCACAAUGGAGCAGUGUGUCUUGCUGUUAAUCAGAAGGUUGGUAGUUUGAGCCGACCCAGGGACG